GAAAGCCCUAGUCGAACAACAAACGCUCUGGGUUGUUUGCAUUUCUUCAAAACCAAUCCCAAUGGUCUUGGACGGCGCUAAGCUCCGGACGCAGCGGCGGUGGCUCUGCAAAAUA
Long non-coding RNA from Etheostoma spectabile (orangethroat darter), 115 nucleotides. RefSeq lists it as uncharacterized. NCBI's taxonomy places the organism in Eukaryota, Metazoa, Chordata, Actinopteri, Perciformes, Percidae. The record is from RefSeq and is a predicted model, not a curated record. The transcript has 3 exons.